AUCUGUUCAGUUUGAUCGUUAUAGAUACAGCUUCAACUACUCCAUUCCCUCGUUAAUCCUAGUCCCACCUGCACGGCAUGCACGACCACCAUAACCGUAACCAUAGGCAUAACCACACCUGAACCGCGCUGACAUGGCUUUAACUUGGCCGAAUCUGCUUCAGUUUCGUUCUCAACCUUCGCUUGGACCCGCCAACUACGUCUUCUUCUCCGAUGUAGAACCGUCAUGCACCGAUACUCUCACUCUACUCCGCCGGUGCAAGGUCUCAGUUCUAUCUCCGCCGGCGCUGAAACCUGUGAAAUGCCUCAGCAGAUCCACGGAGGAGAAGCAGUGGAGCGACUCCGAAACCGCCAUAUCUGACUCGGAUAAAGUUGCAGAUGAACCAAAUGACCGGUCUCGGAACCGAGCUUCCGUUCCGGCAAACGGUCGCGUUGAGUCUCACAGGAUAGUCACCACCUCUUCCGGCGAUUCUCUCUCUCUCGGAAUUCGAGAACCGGUUUAUGAAGUUGUUGAAGUGAAGUCUAAUGGGACAAUGUCGACUAGAAAAAUCAACAGGAGACAAUUGUUGAAGUCAAGUGGUCUUCGUCCACGGGACAUUCGAAGUGUGGAUCCAUCAUUGUUUUUGACAAAUUCAAUGCCUUCUUUGCUGGUCCGGGAGUAUGCUAUACUUCUAAAUCUGGGUUCCCUACGAGCAAUAGCAAUGCAAGAUUGUGUACUUAUAUUCGACUAUAAUUGUACAGGAGGGCAAGCUUUUCUAGAGACAUUGCUACCUCGAUUGAACCCCAAGAGUAACAAUGGAGGACCAUCAAUGCCAUUUGAAAUUGAGGUUGUUGAAGCAGCAUUGCUUUCAAGAAUUCAGCGUUUGGAGCAGAGAUUGAUGAACUUAGAACCUCGUGUACAAGCUCUUCUUGAGGCAUUGCCAAAUCGGUUAACUGGUGACAUAUUGGAGCAACUUCGUAUUAGCAAACAAACUUUGGUUGAGUUAGGUUCUAGGGCAGGAGCUCUCAGACAAAUGCUGCUCGACCUGUUGGAGGAUCCCCAUGAAAUACGCCGUAUAUGUAUCAUGGGAAGAAACUGUACACUUAAUAAAGGAAACAAUGAUAUGGAAUGCUCAGUGCCCGUAGAAAAGCAGAUUGCUGAGGAGGAGGAGGAGGAAAUUGAGAUGCUUCUGGAAAAUUAUCUUCAAAGUACACCAUACCAUACAGCAUUAUUACAUGCCCUUAUGGAAAUUUAAGAAGGCGAGAUCCCAGAAUUAACAUAGCAGAAACAAGUUGAAAUCAAGAAUCUCAAACCUUUUGCCUACCAUUAAUAUUCAUAAACAACAAGACUUCAUUUUGCAAUCUCAUGGAUAUCUAAAAGGCUCUAAGGCUUUACGUUUAGAUGUUUCACAUUGGUUAAGAAUAUAGUCAAAAGUGUUUCUUAUAAAACUGGGACAAUCCUCCCUCCUUCAACUGUUUUGAGUUGUGUUAGGCCUAGUCCAUUUCAAAUACUCUAAUCUAUUUUACAAUAUCUUAAAGGUAUCUUCAUUUCAAAACAAGUCUCAUAAAGGUUUCAAACUCCACAGUUAGUUGAUGAUUCUAGCAAAUGCUUAGUUACUGUUCUUUGUAAGUUUAACAUUUUUGUUGAUUUUGUCCCAAAAUUGAUUUCUCUAAAUGCGUUUGCAGAUGUGAAUCUUGUCAUGGCCAAGCUGAAAGGCUUCUAGAUUCUGCAAGGGAAAUGGAAGAUUCUAUAGCUGUCAGUUUGAGUUCACGAAGGCUUGAGGUUAGCAGAGUGGAACUGCUUCUCCAGGUUGGAACAUUCUGUGUGGCAGUAGGUGCCCUUGUGGCAGGUAUCUUUGGCAUGAACCUAAAGUCCUAUCUUGAGGAACAUGUGUUUGCAUUUUGGCUUACAACAGCUGGGAUAAUCAUUGGUGGUGUCAUUGCUUUUUUUCUUAUGUAUUCCUACCUUAGGGCUAGGAAAAUAUUUUGAUCAAGGCUUCUAAUGACCUUCUGAGGUUUAGUAAUCCGAAACUGAAGGGAAUCUAAUUCAUUCUUCAGGUGAUGUCAGGCUGUGUAGAAAAGUUAGCACCCAACAAAUGCAUGAUUGAUUGUACACCGGGGGGGGGGGGGGGGGGGGGGGAGAGAUCAACAUCCAAAAUGGGUCAUGAUGGUACUCGCAUCACUGAGCUGUUAUAAGCAUUAGUUUUUGUUCUUGUUUCGGUGGGGGUAUACAUUUUUUUUUUUUAGUUUCAUGAGCUCAUAGUAUGGCCAUGAUAGUCAACUGGAUUAUCCGCCAUCAAGAGAUCAUAUUGGCUGUUGUAUUUUUGGCGGUGUGCUGUGUAUACUAAAAUAUUAUUUAACUUUCACUGUAACGCGCAAUCUUU
This is an RNA transcript of Abrus precatorius (Indian licorice), 2362 nucleotides long. It is a transcript of the gene named magnesium transporter MRS2-11, chloroplastic, with no coding region annotated. The record is from RefSeq and is a predicted model, not a curated record. Lineage: Eukaryota; Viridiplantae; Streptophyta; Magnoliopsida; Fabales; Fabaceae. The transcript has 14 exons.